This is a long non-coding RNA of Capsicum annuum, 1339 nucleotides long. RefSeq lists it as uncharacterized. The record is from RefSeq and is a predicted model, not a curated record. The transcript has 5 exons. Lineage: Eukaryota; Viridiplantae; Streptophyta; Magnoliopsida; Solanales; Solanaceae.
GGGUAAGUUUGUUUUUUCAUUCUCAAUAAUAUCUUCCUAUGUGGCAGUGUCCCAUCCACAAUUAGUGUUUUCUACAACACUUUCUAGAAUCAUUGUUUGCACCAACCUACUGAGCUUUGUAGUGCAUCUUCAUUCAAGUUUGCAAUCUUCUUCUUUUCUUCUUUCCUUUUCUUUGCUUUUCUGAAAUUUCUUUAUACUUUCCAAUUUCUUCCUCUUCUCUUCUCUUAUCUUACUUCACCACUGACAGAUCUUUAAUUUCUUUAUAGAUCUUCUUCAUACACUGCAGCCCACAAUUAUUGUAGUGUAUGUUGUAACCCACACAAUCCACCCAAAUCCAACUGGGUCUCUUUUCUUUGUUACCAUCGAAGUGGUAAUUUGGAAUUCUAGUGUUAAAUUGGGGAUUUUGAACCAUUUCUACUUGUUUUGAAGCAACAGGUAGGAUAUUCAAUUCAUAUAGGCGGGCUGAUGUGAUUGGACGUGGAAGAACUAUCUGUUGAUUAUAUUAUAUUACAAUUUGGGCAUCUCCGCUGAUUCCAUUUCAUAUGGGGAGGACAGAGAACAUCAGCUCACCUCCCCAGAACAUCAGCUCAAUGAUGGAAGAUCAUUUUGGGCGUCAACUAAAGGUUUUCAGCCUGGACAAGUAUUAUUGGUUCAUCCCCACUUACUCAGAAGAAGAUUUAAGAAGUAUACUCUUCAUGGUCUUGAAUACCUGUUAAAUCCUGAACUCGAGUCCUAAGAAUUGUAGGGGUCAUCAAGUACAUUACCAAGUUCAUAGGUGCAUGCUAACAACCACCAAUUUUUUGUGUUGUUAUGGAGUAUCUGUCAGAGGGUUUUUUGAGAGCAUACCUCCACAAGCUUGAUCAUAAAUCCCUAGCCCUGAAAAUUGAUGGCACUUUCCAUGUAUAUUGCUCAUGGAAUGGAAUAUAUUCAUUCGCAUGGCAUUAUUCAUCGGGACCUCAAACCAGAGAAUAUUCUUAUCAAUGAGGAUUUUCACCUGAAAAUUGCUUGUGAGGAGGCAUACUGUGAUCUCCUGGUUGAUGGCCCAGGAACUUACCGUUGGAUGGCACUAGAGAUGAUCAAGAGAAAAUCAUACGGCAAAAAAGUUGACAUAUAUGGCUUUGGACUUAUUCUAUGGGAAAUGGUGGCUGAAACCAUUCCUUAUGAAGAUGUGACACCAGUACAUGCUGCUUUUGCUGUUGUAAACAAGUAUUAUCUAACAUUUGGUACCUUCUUAUUCAUAUAUUUCUGAAACUCUUGUAAUAUUUUGUUAUUUAUGGACUUUAUAUUCAGUUAUGAAACACAUACUUGUGGAUAGUGGAAUAAAUAACUUUGAUCUCUA